AUACGUAGGGUGCGAGCGUUGUCCGGAAUUACUGGGCGUAAAGAGCUCGUAGGUGGUUUGUCGCGUCGUCUGUGAAAUUCCGGGGCUUAACUCCGGGCGUGCAGGCGAUACGGGCAUAACUUGAGUACUGUAGGGGAGACUGGAAUUCCUGGUGUAGCGGUGAAAUGCGCAGAUAUAAGGAGGAACACCGGUAGCGAAGGCGGGUCUCUGGGCAGUAACUGACGCUGAGGAGCGAAAGCAUGGGUAGCGAACAGGAUUAGAUACCCUGGUAGUCCAUGCCGUAAACGGUGGGCGCUAGGUGUAGGGGUCUUCCACGACUUCUGUGCCGUAGCUAACGCAUUAAGCGCCCCGCCUGGGGAGUACGGCCGCAAGGCUAAAACUCAAAGGAAUUGACGGGG
RNAcentral lists this ribosomal RNA (398 nucleotides) under uncultured bacterium. RNAcentral's name for it is "partial 16S ribosomal RNA". It matches the Rfam family "Bacterial small subunit ribosomal RNA", at positions 523 to 918 of the family's 1533-position model. The record is from RNAcentral.